GUCAACGUCGAGAAAUGUGGUGUCUCAGUGAUUUGUAAUCAUCAGGUGGCGGGUUCGAGUCCUGCAGCCGCACCA
Molecule: transfer RNA, 75 nt
Filed under: Burkholderia vietnamiensis
Lineage: Bacteria; Pseudomonadati; Pseudomonadota; Betaproteobacteria; Burkholderiales; Burkholderiaceae
Description: tRNA-Thr
Source: RNAcentral